This is a long non-coding RNA of Cyprinus carpio carpio, 1144 nucleotides long. Lineage: Eukaryota; Metazoa; Chordata; Actinopteri; Cypriniformes; Cyprinidae. The record is from Ensembl.
UUUGCCUCCUUAGUUGAUUUCCUAGAAUACAUAGCUGCUACGGUUCAUGAAUCUCUAAGGGUAUUUUGGGGUGACCAUCUGCACCACAGAAAAUAACUAUUCAAUAAUAAUUAAGGGGGGAAAAAAAUUUCCCCUCCUGACAGCCUUUUCAACAAUAUCUGUGAUACUGUGAUGGCUUCUGACCACAAAUCAGGAGUCUAUUGAAAAGUUCAAGUUAUGGACCCUGUGGGUUUGAUUCAGAUAUUUUCCUUUCAUUCAGUCGUCUUUAUUAUUAUUAUUUUUAAAUAAUGUCCCUUAACCACUUGCCAUUGUAAGUAAAUUCUGGAAGUUAACUGUGAAGUGUGUAAUUUGAAGGAUCGCUGCAGUAAUUCUAACCAGUUUGUUUUUUGCCACAGUAUUAACACGGUAUGAAGGAGCUAAUGACUUUUUUCUAUUUACACAGUAUUCUUUAGAAUAAUUUUAUAUGGCUUAUAAGGGUUGGUAUUUUGUAUUUUAUAGAUAUUUCACUGGCAUUUAGGUAACUAGGCAUUUCUAGCACUGCAUUUUGUGGUGCAAUUAUUGACAGUUGUGUAGUAUUCCAAGAAAUGACUAUACUAUAGGCAUUAUUGUAGCUAAUUGAGGGAAAGAUUCAAUGAGGGAAUAGGACGAGUGUUGCACAGACAUAUUUGAAUAAGACACAACUGGCUCCUUGGGUCAGAUAAUGCAGAUGUUAGUCAGUUUGCUUUUAGAAGUAAAGUAUGGCUUUUAAAGUGAUAGGUUCUAUUUACAUUGUAAUUACAAAGAAAACUGCACAUAAUUUUUUUGCUUGGUAUUGACACAUUGCCAUAUUUUCUCCCUGCAUAUUCUUUAAUUUUUGUUUGUAUAUUUGCUUUACAUAACCUUUACUUUCCAUCCAGCACCUAUCCUGUGAACAUGUAUUUAAUUUGUAUUUUUCUUGUGUAGAAUUUUAAUUUGAGAUAUAGCAAUGCUAAUGAAAUCUUAAAUGUUAAUAAAGUAUUUACUCCACAUUUUAUUGAAUCUUCAGUGUGGUCUGUACUCAAAUUAGUCAAAUCAAAUACCACAUUACCUGGUAUUUACAGCCUUUGAAUAUACUUCAAUGUUUCUUAUGAGAUAUGGUUACCAAAAAAAAUAAAAAAACGUUCGG